This 254-nucleotide ribosomal RNA is filed under the name uncultured bacterium. Its description in RNAcentral is "partial 16S ribosomal RNA". It matches the Rfam family "Bacterial small subunit ribosomal RNA", at positions 524 to 776 of the family's 1533-position model. The record is from RNAcentral.
UACAGAGGUCUCAAGCGUUGUUCGGAUUUACUGGGCGUAAAGGGCGCGUAGGCGGCAUAUUAAGUCAUCUGUGAAAUCUCCGAGCUUAACUCGGAACUGUCAGCUGAUACUGAUGUGCUAGAGUGCGGAAGGGGCAAUCGGAAUUCUUGGUGUAGCGGUGAAAUGCGUAGAUAUCAAGAGGAACACCUGAGGUGAAGACGGGUUGCUGGGCCGACACUGACGCUGAGUGCGCGAAAGCCAGGGGAGCAAACGGG